AGAAAAGAAAGAGGAGAAAAGAGAGAGAGAGAGAGAGGGAGAGAGAGAAAAGAGGAGGAAAGAAGAGGAAAAGAAUUAGAUACAAGCCCUUCGAAAGUAAUUGAUCAUAAGCCAAGUUGGACGGAACGAAAGGUAAUCAGGAUUAGAAUGGCGGGCAGAGUAACAAAGUUAUUAAGCUUAUGUUAUGGUUAUGUAAUGAAUAAGAGAAGAGUGUAGCCUAUGUUGAUCUUAGCAUAAUGAAUUAAUAGUGAUUGUUGGUUAUUAGAAAA
Long non-coding RNA from Rhododendron vialii, 269 nucleotides. RefSeq lists it as uncharacterized. NCBI's taxonomy places the organism in Eukaryota, Viridiplantae, Streptophyta, Magnoliopsida, Ericales, Ericaceae. The transcript has 2 exons. The record is from RefSeq and is a predicted model, not a curated record.